GUUAAUAUUUUAUACCCAUUUUGUUCUGUACGUUUAUUUAUUUAUUUUUUUUAAAGUCAUUCAGUGAGUAUUUUUUUAAUGCAUUUUUUUGUUAGACAAUUACUGUUUAGCACUGUAUAUUUUACCAAUUCUGGGCAGCAGAGAUAGAAUCUCUGUUUUAGCAGGCUGCGACUUGGCAUCACAGCAUUGGUUGCCAGUGUUGUUAAUUCUUAACAAUUGUUCUGGCGCCACACGCUAGUGCUGUUUGUUGGCCUACUCAGCUCCAUGUGGUAGAUUUUACAAAAAGAACAUAAUCCAGAAAGAUUUUCAAUGAUGAACAUCUUAAUAUAGGAAAGUUCUACCAAAUAAAAAUUAAAUAACAUAUACAAGUAUAUUUCUCAGUCACUGCAUAUCUGCCUAUCUUCUUUCCAGAUGAUUUAAUCAAUAUCCAUGAAUUCACCAGUUACCCUGCCAAAGAGCAUGUGAUCAGCAGUUGUUUCAUGGAAGGCGUUUAAGCAAACCAAAACCAUACCACCACCACCACAACCACAACAACAAAAAUAACCUUUUGUUAAUGCAGAUAUUCUGGCAGAAGAAAGAAACCAAUGAUAUGAACAUCAGUCGGGUAAAUUACACCAUUGAUAUAGCCAUACCUUGCACUGGUUUCCAAUUUCAUAAGAAAACUUCUAUUUUUGUCAAUUUAGUAACAACACUUUGAUCUGUUGCAAUUGAGCCAUCCUCACCAAAAUCUGAUCAAAUGGACACUAGAAAUCUAACAAUGCAUCUAUCUUAGACUAUUAUAAUCUUAAUAAUCAUAUGUGGAGCUCCUAAAAUGAAGACUUUGAUCUUUAGGUACCCCACAUGAGAUUACUAGGAUUUAAAAAUAUCUUUUAUAUGCCACAUGAGAUUUCCAAUGUUCAAUUCAUUGAAUUCUAGUUGAGGAUGGGCCAAUUGCAAUUUAAUCAAAUACGUCUCAUACCAUAUUGAUAUAAAUUGAAGUUUUAUACCUAUUAUAGGACAAGGCAGCAUCACCUAUGGUUCCAACGACCUUAUUUCGCACCUUCCGAACACAAACCUGUACUUGAUCAACCGGUCCAGCCUCAGGAUCCCUGUUACGGUGAAUAACAAUCCCAUUGUCACAUUUGUUUAUGAAGUGGGCACUGCCACUUAUAUCAUACAGAUUGGGAGGAGCCCCAACCCAGUUGUGUAACUGUCUGGGAUGUGCUACAAACCAAACAUGACAAGCAUAAUGUUGAGCAAACCGUUUGACCAGUGUAAGCAUCUGACUUACAUACUCUGUUUCAGUCAUGCUAAUAGGACGCUGAUGGUCAAGCUCAUUGUAAGGAUCAAUUACAAGUCCUCGCACACCAUGCCUUAGAACUGCUGCUUUUGCAAGAUCAAGAACCCAAUUUACACUUGGAAGUUUAUCAUCCUCACAUCUUAUGAGGUAAAAUGUAUCAUUCAACCACCGUUUUCCUUCCUCCAACUCUUCAACACUCAUUCGUUCAACAGACCCUCCAUAACGCGCAUCAAAAAAGGGCUUCUUUAUAUGUUUCUCCAAAAGUUUCCUAGCAUGUUCCCGGACUCUGUUCUCCAUAGAGCAAAGUGCAAAUUUCCAGCCAACAGUGCUGUUAAGAUUGCAUAAGAGAGCAUCAAUCCACUCACUCUUACCAGAAUUGGGAACCCCAGUUACUAUAGUCAACUCUCCUGGCAUAACUUUGUAUAAUUCAUUUAGAGCCUUCCACCCAGUUGAUACGCCACAUUCAUAACCAAGAGUUCGAUUAUAGUAGUCAUCAAUUUCAAUAAAGUAAUCCCUGAACUUGAACAACCCACGGAUGGGGUAUAACUCUGCAUUUUCAAUUGCUUCCCGAAGUGCAUUGGGACCCAAAAACAUGAGAACCUCAUUUGCAUCUUUGCAAUACUCCUCUUUAUUUUUCUUUGGCCACUUGACUCUCCAGCAUCUUUCCCUUCCAAUACGACGUGCGAUCUCUUCAGCUAAAGCUUGACCAGGUGGAUCUUCAUCAGUAGCAAGUAUUAUACGAGAUGCCUUAUUCAAGUACUCUUUGCAAUUCCACAGAUAUUGAUAUUUUGUGUCCUUCUCUUCAGAAGGCAACUCUUUUGAAGAAACUUUUGGAGGCGCGCCAUCAGGUACACUCACACAAGUACGGAACCCAGCUUCUUCCAUUGCAAGCUUGUCUAUUUCACCUUCAACAAUAAUGAUAUCAUCAGCUUCCUUGAUAUCAUCCAGUCCAUAAAAUAUUUUUUCUGUAUCCCUUUCCUGCAAAAAUUUCUUGUUGCUAUCUCGAUAUUUGCAGCUGGUAAGAACUCCAUUUCGCCAAUAUGUAAAUGCAAUCAUAAUCUGCCAAUAAAAUGCAAAGAAUUAUUUCACAAGGCAGAAGCUGCAGAACUGUUGCCCACAUUAGAUUGAAAUGACAAAUAAAAUAUCUGCCACAAGAACAGAUCAUCAAAGGAUUACUAUUUCAUAUAGGCAAAAUAUUCCACCAUCCACCCCUUCCCACAAAAUGAAAAAAAAGAUAAAUAAAUAAAUAAACUUUUGCUCGAGCUACACCAUAACAUGACAUAACCAUUGAUUACUUUUUCUUGAUUCAGCAAUAUCAUGCACCUGAGAACCAUAGCUUUUUUGCAUAACACGAUUUCUCUGUAACGUCUCUGCUGAUAUUAACCGCUCUGCAAAGUAACCAAUGAGCUCGCUACAUAGUGGUUCCAAUUUCAGACUCUCCACAGUGAUUUCCCUUUUCUGCUUAACCUUG
This 2750-nucleotide unclassified non-coding RNA is filed under the name Hevea brasiliensis (rubber tree). The record is from RNAcentral. Lineage: Eukaryota; Viridiplantae; Streptophyta; Magnoliopsida; Malpighiales; Euphorbiaceae.